UACCGAAUUCAGACAAACUCCGAAUGCCAAUUAAUUUAACUUGGGAGUCAGAACAUGGGUGAUAAGGUCCGUGUUCGAAAGGGAAACAGCCCAGACCACCAGCUAAGGUCCCAAAAUAUAUGUUAAGUGGAAAAGGAUGUGGCGUUGCCCAGACAACUAGGAUGUUGGCUUAGAAGCAGCCAUCAUUUAAAGAGUGCGUAAUAGCUCACUAGUCGAGUGACACUGCGCCGAAAAUGUACCGGGGCUAAACAUAUUACCGAAGCUGUGGAUUGUCCUUUGGACAAUGGUAGGAGAGCGUUCUAAGGGCGUUGAAGCAUGAUCGUAAGGACAUGUGGAGCGCUUAGAAGUGAGAAUGCCGGUGUGAGUAGCGAAAGACGGGUGAGAAUCCCGUCCACCGAUUGACUAAGGUUUCCAGAGGAAGGCUCGUCCGCUCUGGGUUAGUCGGGUCCUAAGCUGAGGCCGACAGGCGUAGGCGAUGGAUAACAGGUUGAUAUUCCUGUACCACCUAUAAUCGUUUUAAUCGAUGGGGGGACGCAGUAGGAUAGGCGAAGCGUGCGAUUGGAUUGCACGUCUAAGCAGUAAGGCUGAGUAUUAGGCAAAUCCGGUACUCGUUAAGGCUGAGCUGUGAUGGGGAGAAGACAUUGAGUCUUCGAGUCGUUGAUUUCACACUGCCGAGAAAAGCCUCUAGAUAGAAAAUAGGUGCCCGUACCGCAAACCGACACAGGUAGUCAAGAUGAGAAUUCUAAGGUGAGCGAGCGAACUCUCGUUAAGGAACUCGGCAAAAUGACCCCGUAACUUCGGGAGAAGGGGUGCUCUUUAGGGUUAACGCCCAGAAGAGCCGCAGUGAAUAGGCCCAAGCGACUGUUUAUCAAAAACACAGGUCUCUGCUAAACCGUAAGGUGAUGUAUAGGGGCUGACGCCUGCCCGGUGCUGGAAGGUUAAGAGGAGUGGUUAGCUUCUGCGAAGCUACGAAUCGAAGCCCCAGUAAACGGCGGCCGUAACUAUAACGGUCCUAAGGUAGCGAAAUUCCUUGUCGGGUAAGUUCCGACCCGCACGAAAGGCGUAACGAUUUGGGCACUGUCUCAACGAGAGACUCGGUGAAAUCAUAGUACCUGUGAAGAUGCAGGUUACCCGCGACAGGACGGAAAGACCCCGUGGAGCUUUACUGUAGCCUGAUAUUGAAAUUCGGCACAGCUUGUACAGGAUAGGUAGGAGCCUUUGAAACGUGAGCGCUAGCUUACGUGGAGGCGCUGGUGGGAUACUACCCUAGCUGUGUUGGCUUUCUAACCCGCACCACUUAUCGUGGUGGGAGACAGUGUCA
This 1321-nucleotide ribosomal RNA is filed under the name Staphylococcus aureus M0585. RNAcentral describes it as "bacterial LSU rRNA". It matches the Rfam family "Bacterial large subunit ribosomal RNA", at positions 937 to 2259 of the family's 2925-position model. Lineage: Bacteria; Bacillati; Bacillota; Bacilli; Caryophanales; Staphylococcaceae. The record is from RNAcentral.